CAGUAGCCCGGUAAUACGGAGGGUGCAAGCGUUACUCGGAAUCACUGGGCGUAAAGGACGCGUAGGCGGAUUAUCAAGUCUCUUGUGAAAUCUAACGGCUUAACCGUUAAACUGCUUGGGAAACUGAUAAUCUAGAGUAAGGGAGAAGCAGAUGGAAUUCUUGGUGUAGGGGUAAAAUCCGUAGAUAUCAAGAAGAAUACCUAUUGCGAAGGCGAUCUGCUGGAACUUGACUGACGCUAAUGCGUGAAAGCGUGGGGAGCGAACAGGAUUAGAUACCCGCGUAGUCCCUGUCUCUUAUACA
Molecule: ribosomal RNA, 301 nt
Filed under: uncultured bacterium
Lineage: Bacteria
Description: partial 16S ribosomal RNA
Rfam family: Bacterial small subunit ribosomal RNA
Source: RNAcentral